CGCGGCCUAUCAGCUUGUUGGUGAGGUAACGGCUCACCAAGGCAUUGACGGGUAGCUGGUCUGAGAGGACGAUCGGCCACACUGGGACUGAGACACGGCCCAGACUCCUGCGGGAGGCAGCAGUGGGGAAUCUUGCGCAAUGGGCGAAAGCCUGACGCAGCAACGCCGCGUGGGGGAUGAAGGCUCUCGGGUUGUAAACCCCUUUCAGCAGGGACGAAAUUGACGGUACCUGCAGAAGAAGCCCCGGCCAACUACGUGCCAGCAGCCGCGGUGACACGUAGGGGGCGAGCGUUGUCCGGAAUUAUUGGGCGUAAAGAGCUCGUAGGCGGUUCAGUAAGUCGGGUGUGAAAACUCAAGGCUCAACCUUGAGACGCCACUCGAUACUGCUGUGACUUGAGUCCGGUAGAGGAGUGUGGAAUUCCUGGUGUAGCGGUGAAAUGCGCAGAUAUCAGGAGGAACACCAGCGGCGAAGGCGACACUCUGGGCCGGUACUGACGCUGAGGAGCGAAAGCGUGGGUAGCAAACAGGAUUAGAUACCCUGGUAGUCCACGCCGUAAACGUUGGGCACUAGGUGUGGGUCUCAACCAACGAGAUCCGCGCCGUCGCUAACGCAUUAAGUGCCCCGCCUGGGGAGUACGG
Molecule: ribosomal RNA, 639 nt
Filed under: uncultured Actinomycetes bacterium
Lineage: Bacteria; Bacillati; Actinomycetota; Actinomycetes
Description: bacterial SSU rRNA
Rfam family: Bacterial small subunit ribosomal RNA
Source: RNAcentral